RNAcentral lists this ribosomal RNA (247 nucleotides) under uncultured Eubacteriales bacterium. Its description in RNAcentral is "uncultured Clostridiales bacterium partial 16S ribosomal RNA". It matches the Rfam family "Bacterial small subunit ribosomal RNA", at positions 87 to 334 of the family's 1533-position model. The record is from RNAcentral. Lineage: Bacteria; Bacillati; Bacillota; Clostridia; Eubacteriales.
AUGGAUUAGCGGCGGACGGGUGAGUAACACGUGAGUAACCUGCCUUAGACAUUGGGAUAGCCUCGGGAAACCGGGAUUAAUACCAAAUAAAAUCAUAGGUGCCCAUGCACUAAUGAUCAAAACUCCGGUGGUCUAAGAUGGACUCGCGUCCCAUUAGCUAGUUGGUGAGGUAACGGCCCACCAAGGCGACGAUGGGUAGCCGGCCUGAGAGGGUGAACGGCCACAUUGGAACUGAGAAACGGUCCAA